GACGAACGCCGGCGGCGUGCCUAAUACAUGCAAGUAGAACGCUGAAGGAGGAGCUUGCUUCUCUGGAUGAGUUGCGAACGGGUGAGUAACGCGUAGGUAACCUGCCUGGUAGCGGGGGAUAACUAUUGGAAACGAUAGCUAAUACCGCAUAAUAGUAGAUGUUGCAUGACAUUUGCUUAAAAGGUGCAAUUGCAUCACUACCAGAUGGACCUGCGUUGUAUUAGCUAGUUGGUGAGGUAACGGCUCACCAAGGCGACGAUACAUAGCCGACCUGAGAGGGUGAUCGGCCACACUGGGACUGAGACACGGCCCAGACUCCUACGGGAGGCAGCAGUAGGGAAUCUUCGGCAAUGGACGGAAGUCUGACCGAGCAACGCCGCGUGAGUGAAGAAGGUUUUCGGAUCGUAAAGCUCUGUUGUAAGAGAAGAACGAGUGUGAGAGUGGAAAGUUCACACUGUGACGGUAUCUUACCAGAAAGGGACGGCUAACUACGUGCCAGCAGCCGCGGUAAUACGUAGGUCCCGAGCGUUGUCCGGAUUUAUUGGGCGUAAAGCGAGCGCAGGCGGUUAGAUAAGUCUGAAGUUAAAGGCUGUGGCUUAACCAUAGUACGCUUUGGAAACUGUUUAACUUGAGUGCAAGAGGGGAGAGUGGAAUUCCAUGUGUAGCGGUGAAAUGCGUAGAUAUAUGGAGGAAUACCGGUGGCGAAAGCGGCUCUCUGGCUUGUAACUGACGCUGAGGCUCGAAAGCGUGGGGAGCAAACAGG
This 763-nucleotide ribosomal RNA is filed under the name uncultured Streptococcus sp. RNAcentral describes it as "bacterial SSU rRNA". It matches the Rfam family "Bacterial small subunit ribosomal RNA", at positions 28 to 776 of the family's 1533-position model. The record is from RNAcentral. Lineage: Bacteria; Bacillati; Bacillota; Bacilli; Lactobacillales; Streptococcaceae.